RNAcentral lists this long non-coding RNA (234 nucleotides) under Elaeis guineensis (African oil palm). RNAcentral describes it as "long non-coding RNA (EGUI_LNC011771)". Lineage: Eukaryota; Viridiplantae; Streptophyta; Magnoliopsida; Arecales; Arecaceae. The record is from RNAcentral.
CAUCCUUUCCCUCUCCAGAGCUCCCUCUAUCUAGCCAGUCCAAAUAGCCUUGAACAAAAAGUUAUCAAACUCAUCCAUGCAGUUUAAAUUACCAUACCAGCAUUUUAAUUGUUGAGAUAAGUCCUAAUUACACUAUCUUGUCUUAAGAUUUUUGCAUACACGUAUUCUAGUCAUCUUGUCAAAGCCUUGGAUGCUCCUACAGUAGCAAGCGCCUUGCUGGAAGUGGAAGGACCC